RNAcentral lists this ribosomal RNA (274 nucleotides) under uncultured bacterium. RNAcentral describes it as "partial 16S ribosomal RNA". It matches the Rfam family "Bacterial small subunit ribosomal RNA", at positions 523 to 796 of the family's 1533-position model. The record is from RNAcentral.
AUACGGAGGGAGCAAGCGUUAUCCGGAAUCAUUGGGUUUAAAUGGUCCGUAGGCGGGAAUCUAAGUCAGUGGUGAAAUCUUGCAGCUCAACUGUAAAAUUGCCAUUGAUACUGGAUUUCUUGAAUUAGUGUGAAGUGGUUAGAAUGUGUAGUGUAGCGGUGAAAUGCAUAGAUAUUACACAGAAUACCAAUUGCGAAGGCAGAUCACUAACACUAUAUUGACGCUCAGGGACGAAAGCGUGGGGAGCGAACAGGAUUAGAAACCCCAGUAGUCC